AUCUCAGGACAGCUCUGAGGGAGGAUGGUAUCCCAACGGAAAAGCAUCCUGAGACAUGGGGGCCCAGGAACCACACAGCUCUGAGAGGAAGCCUCCUCCGCAGAGCAUUUGCAGCCCCUGAGGAGGGUAUCCCCGGCUGAGCUCAAGAGCUCAGGAGCAGGCAGCAAAUCUCAUAAAAGAGAUUUAGAGGGAGGAUCCAGGGUGCGGAGGGAUAAAUCUAGGGGUGGCUACCUCUGCUCCAGGGAGCAGACAGCAGGGAGCUGAGCAGACACAGCGUUUAUAUAGGAUCCCUUAGUGGGUGGAGCUUUCUACGAGCGGAGAUUUCCAGGGGAGUACAACAGGAAAGGCUUUGCCCACCUCUGGAGUGGUGUCCAUAGCCAACAGUGAGACUUAAAAUGGCCAUGUUGAAGGAACCGUGUCAUUGGAGGUGGGCUUUAAGAAUGUAAGGACUCGGUCUCUCACUGCAGCAACGCAAGCGCGAGCUCGGAAAGAGAAUCCACGUGUUGUAAGAAAAUGGCAGACAAGGCAGACAUGCGGGAAAUCGCCAGCUUCGAUAAGGCCAAGCUGAAGAAAACCGAGACGCAGGAGAAUAACACCCUGCCGACCAAAGAGACCAUCGAACAGCUCAGGAUGUGAGCCCUCGGCUUCCACUUCAGCCACCAAGCCUGCUGCAUGCUGCCAGGCUUCCCAGACAUGACAAACUCUGGAUCCACAAGCCCAAAUAAAGUCUCAUAUAAAUGGU
This is a long non-coding RNA of Mus musculus (house mouse), 742 nucleotides long. RefSeq annotates it as predicted gene 3787. NCBI's taxonomy places the organism in Eukaryota, Metazoa, Chordata, Mammalia, Rodentia, Muridae. The transcript has 3 exons. The record is from RefSeq and is marked validated.